This 76-nucleotide transfer RNA is filed under the name Nocardia tengchongensis. RNAcentral's name for it is "tRNA-Arg". It matches the Rfam family "tRNA". Rfam says of the family: Transfer RNA (tRNA) molecules are approximately 80 nucleotides in length. RNAcentral also lists the same sequence under 15 other names. The record is from RNAcentral. Lineage: Bacteria; Bacillati; Actinomycetota; Actinomycetes; Mycobacteriales; Nocardiaceae.
GCCCUCGUAGCUCAGGGGAUAGAGCGUCUGCCUCCGGAGCAGAAGGCCGCAGGUUCGAUUCCUGCCGAGGGCACCA